CCGAACCGACUAGUGUUGCAAAAUUAGCGGAUGAGCUGUGGAUAGGGGUGAAAGGCCAAACAAAUCUGGAGAUAGCUGGUUCUCCCCGAAAACUAUUGAGGUAGUGCCUCGUGUGUCGCUCCAGGGGGUAGAGCACUGUUUUGGCUAGGGGGACAUGGAGUCUUACCAAACCAAGGCAAACUCCGAAUACCUGGAAGCGUAAGCACGGGAGACAGAGCACCGGGUGCUAACGUCCGGACUCAAAAGGGAAACAACCCAGACCGCCGGCUAAGGUCCCCAAUAACAGCUAAGUGGAAAACGAAGUGGAAAGGCCGUGACAACCAGGAAGUUGGCUUAGAAGCAGCCAUCCUUCAAAGAAAGCGUAAUAGCUCACUGGUCGAGUCCUUCUGCGCGGAAGAUGUAACGGGGCUAAGCUGUUAACCGAAGCCGCGGAUGCACUGAUUAUUCAGUGCGUGGUAGGGGAGCGUUCUGUAAGUCUGCGAAGGCGGUUCGAGAGGACUGCUGGAGAUAUCAGAAGUGCGAAUGCUGACAUGAGUAACGUUAAAGCAGGUGAAAAGCCUGCUCGCCGUAAGCCCAAGGAUUCCUGCUCUACGUUCAUCGGAGCAGGGUGAGUCGGCUCCUAAGGUCAGGCCGAAAGGCGUAGCCGAUGGGAAUCAGGUUAAUAUUCCUGAACCUGCGUCAGAUGCGAUGGGGGGACGGAGCAUGAAAGAUCAUCCGGGUGUUGGAUGUCCCGGUUGACGAGCGUAGGAGGUCUGCAGGCAAAUCCGCAGACGCAUCUCCAAGGCGAAGUCACGUGCCGCCACGGCGGCGAAGUGAUCGGAAGUGCUUCCAAGAAAAGCCUCUAAGCACCAGUCUGGCGCGGACCGUACCGCAAACCGACACUGGUGGGCGAGCUGAAUAUGCUCAGGCGCUUGAGAGAACUCGGGAGAAGGAACUCGGCAAAUUGACACCGUAACUUCGGAAGAAGGUGUGCCGUAGUACCGUGAGAGGAGAGACACCUUGAGCGGGAAUCGGUCUCAGAGAAUAGGUGGCUGCGACUGUUUAUUAAAAACACAGCACUCUGCAAAGUCGAAAGACGACGUAUAGGGUGUGAUGCCUGCCCGGUGCUGGAAGAUUAAUUGAUGGGGUGAGAGCCCUUGAUCGAAGUCCCAGUAAACGGCGGCCGUAACUAUAACGGUCCUAAGGUAGCGAAAUUCCUUGUCGGGUAAGUUCCGACCUGCACGAAUGGCAUAACGAUGGCCACACUGUCUCCUCCCGAGACUCAGUGAAGUUGAAAUGUUUGUGAUGAUGCAAUCUACCCGCGGCUAGACGGAAAGACCCCAUGAACCUUUACUGCAGCUUUGCAUUGAACUGUGAACCGAUUUGUGUAGGAUAGGUGGGAGGCAGAGAAGAGGCCACGCCAGUGGUCUUGGAGCCGGCCUUGAAAUACCACCCUGAUUUGUUUGCGGUUCUAACCACGGACAGUGAUCCUGUCUUGGGACCGUGCAUGGUAGGCAGUUUGACUGGGGCGGUCUCCUCCUAAAGGGUAACG
RNAcentral lists this ribosomal RNA (1531 nucleotides) under human metagenome. RNAcentral describes it as "bacterial LSU rRNA". It matches the Rfam family "Bacterial large subunit ribosomal RNA", at positions 774 to 2302 of the family's 2925-position model. The record is from RNAcentral.